CCUUGUCGGGUAAGUUCCGACCUGCACGAAUGGCGUAAUGAUGGCCAGGCUGUCUCCACCCGAGACUCAGUGAAAUUGAACUCGCUGUGAAGAUGCAGUGUACCCGCGGCAAGACGGAAAGACCCCGUGAACCUUUACUAUAGCUUGACACUGAACACUGGUCCUUGAUGUGUAGGAUAGGUGGGAGGCUUUGAAGUGUGGACGCCAGUCUGCAUGGAGCCAUCCUUGAAAUACCACCCUUUAAUGGCUGGUGUUCUAACGUGGGCCCGUAAUCCGGGUUGCGGACAGUGUCUGGUGGGUAGUUUGACUGGGGCGGUCUCCUCCUAAAGAGUAACGGAGGAGCACGAAGGUCAGCUAAUCCUGGUCGGACAUCAGGAGGUUAGUGCAAUGGCAUAAGCUGGCUUGACUGCGAGCGUGACGGCGCGAGCAGGUGCGAAAGCAGGUCAUAGUGAUCCGGUGGUUCUGAAUGGAAGGGCCAUCGCUCAACGGAUAAAAGGUACUCCGGGGAUAACAGGCUGAUACCGCCCAAGAGUUCAUAUCGACGGCGGUGUUUGGCACCUCGAUGUCGGCUCAUCACAUCCUGGGGCUGAAGUAGGUCCCAAGGGUAUGGCUGUUCGCCAUUUAAAGUGGUACGCGAGCUGGGUUUAGAACGUCGUGAGACAGUUCGGUCCCUAUCUGCCGUGGGCGCUGGAGAAUUGAGGGGGGCUGCUCCUAGUACGAGAGGACCGGAGUGGACGCAUCACUGGUGUUCGGGUUGUCAUGCCAAUGGCAUUGCCCGGUAGCUAAAUGCGGAAGAGAUAAGUGCUGAAAGCAUCUAAGCACGAAACUUGCC
Molecule: ribosomal RNA, 832 nt
Filed under: Klebsiella oxytoca
Lineage: Bacteria; Pseudomonadati; Pseudomonadota; Gammaproteobacteria; Enterobacterales; Enterobacteriaceae
Description: partial 23S ribosomal RNA
Rfam family: Bacterial large subunit ribosomal RNA
Source: RNAcentral